CCUACGGGUGGCUGCAGUGAGGAAUAUUGGUCAAUGGGCGCAAGCCUGAACCAGCCAUGCCGCGUGCAGGAAGACGGUCCUAUGGAUUGUAAACUGCUUUUAUUUGGGAAUAAACCUCUUUACGUGUAGAGAGCUGAAGGUACCAAAUGAAUAAGCACCGGCUAACUCCGUGCCAGCAGCCGCGGUAAUACGGAGGGUGCAAGCGUUAUCCGGAAUCAUUGGGUUUAAAGGGUCCGCAGGCGGUCUUAUAAGUCAGUGGUGAAAGCCUACAGCUC
This 275-nucleotide ribosomal RNA is filed under the name uncultured Fluviicola sp. RNAcentral's name for it is "partial 16S ribosomal RNA". It matches the Rfam family "Bacterial small subunit ribosomal RNA", at positions 338 to 610 of the family's 1533-position model. The record is from RNAcentral. Lineage: Bacteria; Pseudomonadati; Bacteroidota; Flavobacteriia; Flavobacteriales; Crocinitomicaceae.